RNAcentral lists this ribosomal RNA (186 nucleotides) under uncultured eukaryote. Its description in RNAcentral is "partial 18S ribosomal RNA". It matches the Rfam family "Eukaryotic small subunit ribosomal RNA", at positions 1299 to 1458 of the family's 1831-position model. The record is from RNAcentral.
UGGUGGAGUGAUUUGUCUGGUUAAUUCCGAUAACGAACGAGACUCUGUCCUGCUAACUAGGUUGUGUUUUCUCGGGUUGGUGUUUCUGGUGUUCCUUCUCGGGGCGCCGGCCCAAUCCACUUGUGAACACAACACCCUUCUUAGAGGGACUGGCGGCUGUUAGCCGCACGAGAUAGAGCAAUAACA